GCUUUUCUAGUAUACUAAUUACAAUAGACUUCCAAUCUCUAGAAUCUGGUCUAACUCCAGAGAAAAGCA
Molecule: transfer RNA, 69 nt
Filed under: Traversia lyalli (Stephens Island wren)
Lineage: Eukaryota; Metazoa; Chordata; Aves; Passeriformes; Acanthisittidae
Description: tRNA-Gly
Source: RNAcentral